RNAcentral lists this ribosomal RNA (838 nucleotides) under uncultured Bacteroidota bacterium. Its description in RNAcentral is "bacterial SSU rRNA". It matches the Rfam family "Bacterial small subunit ribosomal RNA", at positions 42 to 870 of the family's 1533-position model. The record is from RNAcentral. Lineage: Bacteria; Pseudomonadati; Bacteroidota.
ACAGGCUUAACACAUGCAAGUCGAGGGGAAACGACGGGGAAGCUUGCUUCCUUGGGCGUCGACCGGCGCACGUGUGAGUAACGCGUAUCCAACCUGCCUCUGACUGAGGGAUAACCCGUCGAAAGUCGGCCUAAUACCUCAUGGCAUCGUCUGCGGGCAUCCAACGACGAUUAAAGAUUUCAUCGGUCAGGGAUGGGGAUGCGUCUGAUUAGCUGGUUGGCGGGGUAACGGCCCACCAAGGCUACGAUCAGUAGGGGUUCUGAGAGGAAGGUCCCCCACAUUGGAACUGAGACACGGUCCAGACUCCUACGGGAGGCAGCAGUGAGGAAUAUUGGUCAAUGGGCGAGAGCCUGAACCAGCCAAGUAGCGUGCAGGAAGACGGCCCUAUGGGUUGUAAACUGCUUUUAUGCGGGGAUAAAGUGAGGGACGUGUCCUUCAUUGCAGGUACCGCAUGAAUAAGGACCGGCUAAUUCCGUGCCAGCAGCCGCGGUAAUACGGAAGGUCCUGGCGUUAUCCGGAUUUAUUGGGUUUAAAGGGAGCGUAGGCCGUGGAUUAAGCGUGUUGUGAAAUGCAGGUGCUCAACGUCUGCACUGCAGCGCGAACUGGUCCACUUGAGUGUGCGCAACGCAGGCGGAAUUCGUCGUGUAGCGGUGAAAUGCUUAGAUAUGACGAAGAACUCCGAUUGCGAAGGCAGCUUGCGGGAGCACAACUGACGCUGAAGCUCGAAAGUGCGGGUAUCGAACAGGAUUAGAUACCCUGGUAGUCCGCACGGUAAACGAUGGAUGCCCGUUGUCAGGCUGUUUCAGCCCGGUGACCAAGCGAAAGCAUUGAGCAUCCC